Molecule: long non-coding RNA, 1587 nt
Organism: Olea europaea var. sylvestris
Lineage: Eukaryota; Viridiplantae; Streptophyta; Magnoliopsida; Lamiales; Oleaceae
Exons: 3
Source: RefSeq, a predicted model, not a curated record
AAUCUCAUAAUUGUUCUUGAUGAGUAUGGACAUAAUUGUUCUUGAAAAUCUCAUAAUUCUUCUCAAAAAUUACUCCUUAUCAGUUAAGCUAAUCCUUCGUUGUUUGCAAUUCUAGCAUUUUACACGAGGGAAUUUCCAGACUAAUUUGAAUACAUGUGGAACAUUCAUGUCUGGAAUUCUGAUGCCAUGUUUCUUCUGUUUUUUGUUGAUGUAUUUCUUGAACAUUUUACUGUCUGUUGGCUAUACAUACAUCCCCUCUUGGAAUUUUUCUUGCACCUCCAUGUUGUGUGUUGUAAGAGAUGCAACAAAAGGUUGUCAUUUUUUGAUAGAAUUUCUAUACCAAUGUUAUUACAAGUAAGCAUGUGGUUAACAUCAGUUUCUCAUCAAAGUUAAUAUAAAUCCCGAGAUAAAAAAUUCCAAAACCAUGUUUGCUGUCAUUUUUAGUAAGAGCGAAAAUUGUGUGAAUCUUAAUUUUUUUGUAGAAAGGUAGUUUUGUCCCUAAGUAGAUAAGUUUAGGUGAUUUAUAUCUAUUACACUUUAACCCUUUUUUUUUUAAGGCUACCACUUUUAAUCAUUCACUGGCUUCUGAGAAAGUUUUUUUAUUUUUUAUUUUUUAAGUUUCUUGCAUUUUGUUUCUAAAUAUGUCGUGUUAAUGGUAAAAAUUAUUGUUCUUCAUAUAUUGAAUCGUUAAUAAUGAAAAAUUAUAUUCUCAUAUUUAGUUUUGACCUAAUCUUUUACUAAAUUUAUAGUCGGUUGAAUAAAAUAUUUUGAUUAUUACAUUAAAACAUUUUGUAGGGGCCAUACAAAGAGUUUUGGAUAAAAGAGCAUCCUUCAAUUCAAAUUGCAACAAGGAUGGUUCGAAGUGUCCGGAAGUCGACACAUUUGAGUUCGCUUAUGCUAGGAAGAACAAGUAUUGGACUUGUAAUGCAGCUAAAGCUCAACAUGAUGAAAUGCUUGUCAAAGAGCAUGAAUAUCUUAUAGAGAGACAAAGGAUUAGCAACUUCCUGAAGAUAUCCCUUUGGAGGAGAUAGCGAUAGAUGAUCCUGAUGCCGAAAUUGAUAUCAUGAUGUUCGUUCUAGGCACGAAGCCCAGGCACCAAAUUCUUGGGUUAGAAGAUGGUCGCUUUCGAGAUAUUAGGAUAUCUUCUUCCAAUGUACACAAUUUGGGGAAGAGUUGGAAGCAGAACAUGUUGCUCGAAAGGUAGUUGAUGCGGCUCAAGUAAACAUGGAGCAAAAUAUGCAAAACAAGCUAAAGGUUGUUGAGCAACAAUUCAAUUCUAUAUUACAAUCUUGGAAUCAUUCUAUGCACCAACUAUGUGAUAAAGUUCCUGACUUCAUUGUACCACCAUUUAUACCAUUACCAAUAGAGAAUAAUGGUAAUGAGAAAGAUGAUACUAUUGAGGAUGAAGAGAAUAACUUUGAUGAGAAUCAGUGCAUGUCUAAUUCACGAGAUUGAAGAGUCAUGUUUUUUAUUUGCAUAACAAUAGAUAUAUAGCAUGUUUGCUCUGCUUAUUUUAACUUUAAAUGUAAUCAUACUUGGUGAAACUCAUUUAUUCGUGUUUUGAUGAAAUAUUUUGAAUUCAAUGUU